RNAcentral lists this ribosomal RNA (374 nucleotides) under uncultured bacterium. Its description in RNAcentral is "bacterial SSU rRNA". It matches the Rfam family "Bacterial small subunit ribosomal RNA", at positions 524 to 898 of the family's 1533-position model. The record is from RNAcentral.
UACGAAGGGGGCUAGCGUUGUUCGGAAUUACUGGGCGUAAAGCGUGCGCAGGCGGUUUCUCAAGUCAGGGGUGAAAGCCCGGAGCUCAACUCCGGAAUUGCCUUUGAAACUGUGAAGCUAGAGUGCGGGAGAGGUGAGUGGAAUUCCCAGUGUAGAGGUGAAAUUCGUAGAUAUUGGGAAGAACACCGGUGGCGAAGGCGGCUCACUGGCCCGUUUCUGACGCUCAUGCACGACAGCGUGGGGAUCAAACAGGAUUAGAUACCCUGGUAGUCCACGCCGUAAACUAUGGAUGCUAGCCGUUGGGUAGCUUGCUACUCAGUGGCGCAGCUAACGCCUUAAGCAUCCCGCCUGGGGAGUACGGCCGCAAGGUUGAA